GGGUCAUUAGGUUGGUCGUGCCACCGGUACGUACUGGUCUCACUGAUUCCUCCUUCCUGAAGAACCGUAAUGCCAUUAAUUUGGUGUUGCGGGGAAACAGGACUGUUACUUUGAAAAAAUUAGAGUGUUUAAAGCAAGUUAACGCUUGAAUACAUUAGCAUGGAAUAAUGAAAUAGGACGAUCGAUCCUAUUUUGUUGGUUUCUAGGAUUGACGUA
RNAcentral lists this ribosomal RNA (216 nucleotides) under Glomeromycotina sp. RNAcentral describes it as "partial small subunit ribosomal RNA". The stretch from base 40 to 216 matches the Rfam family "Eukaryotic small subunit ribosomal RNA", at positions 686 to 864 of the family's 1831-position model. Lineage: Eukaryota; Fungi; Glomeromycota. The record is from RNAcentral.